This is a transfer RNA of 73 nucleotides. It matches the Rfam family "tRNA". From Rfam's summary of the family: Transfer RNA (tRNA) molecules are approximately 80 nucleotides in length.
ACCCGUCUAGCUCAGUCGGUAGAGCGCUGGCCUUUUAACCCUCUACGCGUGGGUUCGAGCCCCACGGGGGGUG